Molecule: ribosomal RNA, 292 nt
Filed under: uncultured Sphingobacterium sp.
Lineage: Bacteria; Pseudomonadati; Bacteroidota; Sphingobacteriia; Sphingobacteriales; Sphingobacteriaceae
Description: partial 16S ribosomal RNA
Rfam family: Bacterial small subunit ribosomal RNA
Source: RNAcentral
GUGUCAGCCGCCGCGGUAAUACGGAGGAUGCAAGCGUUGUCCGGAUUUAUUGGGUUUAAAGGGUGCGUAGGCGGAGAAUUAAGUCAGUGGUGAAAGCUUACAGCUUAACUGUAAAACUGCCAUUGAAACUGAUUUUCUUGAGUUCGAUUGAGGUAGAUGGAAUGUAUCAUGUAGCGGUGAAAUGCUUAGACAUGAUACAGAACACCAAUUGCGAAGGCAGUCUACUAAGUCGAUACUGACGCUGAGGCACGAAAGCAUGGGGAGCAAACAGGAUUAGAAACCCCCGUAGUCC